This 150-nucleotide non-coding RNA is filed under the name human gut metagenome. The record is from RNAcentral.
UUCGUCCUGAAUGAAAAGGGAACUUCGGUGAAAGUCCGAGACUAUACCCGUAGCUGUAAUUCUCUUUGUAAUCCGUACAUCAAAGGUCACUGUAAUAAAGCGGGAAGACCGUACGGAUGAGAUAAGUCAGAAGACCUGCCUUCUUCUUUA